AUGCUCACUUCAGCAGCACAUAUGCUAAAAUUGGAACGAUACAGAGGAGAUUAGCAUGGCCCGUGCACAAGGAUGACAGGCAAAUUCGUGAAGCAUUCCAUUUUUUU
Heterocephalus glaber (naked mole-rat) is the source of this 107-nucleotide small nuclear RNA. The record is from Ensembl. Lineage: Eukaryota; Metazoa; Chordata; Mammalia; Rodentia; Bathyergidae.